CACAUGCAAGUCGAACGAUGAAGCUGUGCUUGCACAGUGGAUUAGUGGCGAACGGGUGAGUAACACGUGAGUAACCUGCCCUCCACUUUGGGAUAACUCCGAGAAAUCGGGGCUAAUACUGGAUAUGACUAUGGCCCGCAUGGGUUUUGGUGGAAAGUUUUUCGGUGGGGGAUGGGCUCGCGGCCUAUCAGUUUGUUGGUGAGGUAGUGGCUCACCAAGGCGAUGACGGGUAGCCGGCCUGAGAGGGCGACCGGCCACACUGGGACUGAGACACGGCCCAGACUCCUACGGGAGGCAGCAGUGGGGAAUAUUGCACAAUGGGCGAAAGCCUGAUGCAGCGACGCCGCGUGGGGGAUGACGGCCUUCGGGUUGUAAACCUCUUUCAGCAAGGAAGAAGCGAAAGUGACGGUACUUGCAGAAGAAGCGCCGGCUAACUACGUGCCAGCAGCCGCGGUAAUACGUAGGGCGCAAGCGUUGUCCGGAAUUAUUGGGCGUAAAGGGCUUGUAGGUGGCUUGUCGCGUCUGCCGUGAAAACCCAGGGCUUAACUCUGGGCGUGCGGUGGGUACGGGCAGGCUAGAGUGCGGUAGGGGAGACUGGAAUUCCUGGUGUAGCGGUGAAAUGCGCAGAUAUCAGGAGGAACACCGAUGGCGAAGGCAGGUCUCUGGGCCGUUACUGACACUGAGAAGCGAAAGCAUGGGGAGCGAACAGGAUUAGAUACCCU
RNAcentral lists this ribosomal RNA (722 nucleotides) under Dermabacter hominis. RNAcentral describes it as "bacterial SSU rRNA". It matches the Rfam family "Bacterial small subunit ribosomal RNA", at positions 52 to 788 of the family's 1533-position model. The record is from RNAcentral. Lineage: Bacteria; Bacillati; Actinomycetota; Actinomycetes; Micrococcales; Dermabacteraceae.